RNAcentral lists this ribosomal RNA (495 nucleotides) under uncultured bacterium. RNAcentral's name for it is "partial 16S ribosomal RNA". It matches the Rfam family "Bacterial small subunit ribosomal RNA", at positions 28 to 507 of the family's 1533-position model. The record is from RNAcentral.
GAUGAACGCUGGCGGCGUGCCUAAUACAUGCAAGUAGAACGCUGAAGGAGGAGCUUGCUUCUCUGGAUGAGUUGCGAACGGGUGAGUAACGCGUAGGUAACCUGCCUGGUAGCGGGGGAUAACUAUUGGAAACGAUAGCUAAUACCGCAUAAUAUUGACUAUUGCAUGAUAGUCAGUUGAAAGGUGCAACUGCACCACUACCAGAUGGACCUGCGUUGUAUUAGCUAGUUGGUGGGGUAACGGCUCACCAAGGCGACGAUACAUAGCCGACCUGAGAGGGUGAUCGGCCACACUGGGACUGAGACACGGCCCAGACUCCUACGGGAGGCAGCAGUAGGGAAUCUUCGGCAAUGGACGGAAGUCUGACCGAGCAACGCCGCGUGAGUGAAGAAGGUUUUCGGAUCGUAAAGCUCUGUUGUAAGAGAAGAACGAGUGUGAGAGUGGAAAGCUCACACUGUGACGGUAUCUUACCAGAAAGGGACGGCUAACUACGUG